This 253-nucleotide ribosomal RNA is filed under the name uncultured bacterium. Its description in RNAcentral is "partial 16S ribosomal RNA". It matches the Rfam family "Bacterial small subunit ribosomal RNA", at positions 524 to 776 of the family's 1533-position model. The record is from RNAcentral.
UACGUAGGGUGCAAGCGUUGUCCGGAAUUAUUGGGCGUAAAGAGCUCGUAGGCGGUCUGUUGCGUCGGCUGUGAAAACCCGGGGCUCAACCCCGGGCCUGCAGCCGAUACGAGCAGACUAGAGUUCGGCAGGGGAGACUGGAAUUCCUGGUGUAGCGGUGAAAUGCGCAGAUAUCAGGAGGAACACCGGUGGCGAAGGCGGGUCUCUGGGCCGAUACUGACGCUGAGGAGCGAAAGCGUGGGGAGCGAACAGG